AUUGAACGCUGGCGGCAUGCCUUACACAUGCAAGUCGAACGGCAGCGGGCCUUCGGGUGCCGGCGAGUGGCGAACGGGUGAGUAAUGCAUCGGAACGUGCCAUUGAGUGGGGGAUAACGUAGCGAAAGUUACGCUAAUACCGCAUAUUCUGUGAGCAGGAAAGCAGGGGACCGCAAGGCCUUGCGCUCUUUGAGCGGCCGAUGUCAGAUUAGCUAGUUGGUGAGGUAAAGGCUUACCAAGGCGACGAUCUGUAGCGGGUCUGAGAGGAUGAUCCGCCACACUGGAACUGAGACACGGUCCAGACUCCUACGGGAGGCAGCAGUGGGGAAUUUUGGACAAUGGGGGCAACCCUGAUCCAGCCAUGCCGCGUGAGUGAAGAAGGCCUU
This 386-nucleotide ribosomal RNA is filed under the name uncultured bacterium. Its description in RNAcentral is "bacterial SSU rRNA". It matches the Rfam family "Bacterial small subunit ribosomal RNA", at positions 30 to 418 of the family's 1533-position model. The record is from RNAcentral.